Long non-coding RNA from Equus quagga, 1953 nucleotides. RefSeq lists it as uncharacterized. The record is from RefSeq and is a predicted model, not a curated record. NCBI's taxonomy places the organism in Eukaryota, Metazoa, Chordata, Mammalia, Perissodactyla, Equidae. The transcript has 4 exons.
UCUUGCAUUUGGGUGAUGCUUCAAAAUUUUUUCUUAAAGGUCUGUGUCAGAGAUUAGCUCACUUGACUCUCUAUUUUACAAUAAGGAAACUAAAGCUCAGAGAGGCAAAAGCUUGCCCAAUGUAUCACAUUCAGGAAAUGGGACCUCACAGAAGAGUACCCAGGCUUUCUAAUUUCGUAAGCCCUCUCAUCACACAGAGAAGAUGGCAGAUCUACACCACUGAAAGGACAAAAGACAAGAGAAUGCUUGUGCCUCUGCCAGCCUAAUCCCUGGAAAUAAGACUUCUUUACUUCCGAGCGUUUUCCUGGGUCCUGCCUCGCAUCUGACCAGGGCAGGUGGCCUCCUCAUCACACUGCUGCCUCUGCUGUUGGCCCUGCUCAUGAAGCCACUAAACAUAUGGUCUCAGCUCUCUUGUCCUCCAAGAAAGACAACCACCACUGCUGCCUUUCUGAUCUCACGACCAAAGAGAAGAUGCUGUCCACCUCGAUCUAAGGCCCUAGGUCCUCAUUUCUUGCCUCCCAUUGGAGCUCAUCCAAGAUGGUUGACAAUGAGAAGAUAAACUCUCUUCAAGGAAAACUCCACACCUAGCCAAGAAGCUGUGAUUUUGCUUUAGGAACCAUUGAAACUCAUAACCCUAUAACACCAUAACGCAACAGAGUUUUUCUGCCUUAAGUAAUACCUCAUGUGAAUGCAGUCAUUCAGGAUGUUUUGGGGAAAGAAGCCUCCUUGCCUCUCCAAAAAACCACAUAAAGCCAUCGGGGCCAUUUUCCUAGGUGACUGUAGGAGAAAUAUCAAGAUAAAGUGAUGUGCAACCAGCAGGGGAGAAUCCAGGUGAAAGUGGUGAAGAACAUGGGAACCUCUCUCCCAGGUGAAAAGAAUUUCCUGGCCUGGGGAAAGAAGGAAGAGAAAGAGAUCUGUAGGUCCUGGGAGCAGAGAGGACCUCUACGCUCCUUUCGGCAAUGCCCUGAAUAUGAUCAGUAAUAGUAACAACAAUGACAAUAGCAACAGCAAUGAUAAUGAGAGCAGCUGACUGCUACUGAACACUGACUAUGUACCAGGAAUUGUGCUAAGUACUUUAUGUUACAUUACCUCAAUUUUGUCCUCACAACAACUCUGGGAGGUAGGUAAAUAUACAUAUCUCCACUUUACAGAUGAAAAUCUGAAGCUUAGGAAAUGGAAGAACAUCUGCCGGAGGUCACACAGAUAUGGCACGUUCAUGAUGUGAAUCCAAGUGAUGCCGAAGUCAGCCUUCUUAAUCAUUCACAAUUCUGCCCCUCUUCAGUGAGGCCUCCAAGACCAGCUGCCUGGGGAACUCAGGCAGAGAAAGCUAUCUGCAGCCAGGUAAGAGCUUCUCGUUUCUCCUGCAGGUCACAGAGGUGGUUGAAGGCCCCUGGGCCUGAGGAGUCCUGCAGACAGGACAAACAAUAAACAAAGAUCAGAGGGCAAGCUCUCCACUCUUCUUUCCUCCCCAAUUCCAAUGACCCAGGUGAGAGGAUGGCGGAGAAGGAACUAAGAGUUACCAAGGGCAAAUUUUCUACUGGCCUGGAAGAUGUGGACUUGGUAUAAAAUGUAAUUAAGCAUAAUUACAGAAAAUAACAAAUAUAUUUCUUGUGCAUACAAAUUUGUAAAGGGAGAUUUAUACCCAUUACACAGAUUGUCUCUAUUUUCACUGUUUUCACUGCAUUAUAAUUAGAUUAUUUCGUGUAGAUUAUGAACAACUAUAAGUUAGGAAAUUUCUGUUGUUUGACUUUGUCAUCUAUACGUAGCAGAGUGCCAGGCUUAUGCUGAUUGAAUGGAUUAUUGAAAUAAUAAGAUUUGUCUAUUACUCUAUUUUUCCCCCAGCAAAUUCUGUUCACUUAAAAUGUUGAAGUCUUUAUUGUGAAUAUAAAGUCAGUUAACACAAAUAACAUAUCUCAAAUGUCCUUGCUCUUAGAGGUAUAUUUCCCCUGACUU